AACGAACGCUGGCGGCGUGGAUAAGACAUGCAAGUCGAACGCUGAUUUCAGGGUAGCAAUAUUCUGGAGUCGGAGUGGCGCAAGGGUGCGUAACACGUGGGUAAUUUGCCAUGAAGCCCGGAAUAACUCGCUGAAAGGCGAGCUAAUACCGGAUGUGAUCUUCGGGAGGCAUCUCCUGAACCUCAAAGCUGGGGACCGUAAGGCCUGGCACUUCUUGAUAAGCCCGCGGCCUAUCAGCUAGUUGGUGAGGUAACGGCUCACCAAGGCUAAGACGGGUAGCUGGUCUGAGAGGACGACCAGUCACACUGGAACUGAGACACGGUCCAGACACCUACGGGUGCAGCAGUCGAGAAUUUUUCUCAAUGGGCGAAAGCCUGAAGGAGCGACGCCGCGUGGGGAUGAAUGGCUUCGGCCCCUAAACCCCUGUCAUUUGCGAACAAACCUCGUG
RNAcentral lists this ribosomal RNA (448 nucleotides) under uncultured bacterium. RNAcentral describes it as "bacterial SSU rRNA". It matches the Rfam family "Bacterial small subunit ribosomal RNA", at positions 29 to 457 of the family's 1533-position model. The record is from RNAcentral.